AAACUCAAAGGAAUUGACGGGGGCCCGCACAAGCGGUGGAGCAUGUGGUUUAAUUCGACGCAACGCGCAGAACCUUACCAGCCCUUGACAUCCCGGUCGCGGACUCCAGAGACGGAGUUCUUCAGUUCGGCUGGACCGGAGACAGGUGCUGCAUGGCUGUCGUCAGCUCGUGUCGUGAGAUGUUGGGUUAAGUCCCGCAACGAGCGCAACCCCCGUCCUUAGUUGCUACCAUUUAGUUGAGCACUCUAAGGAGACUGCCGGUGAUAAGCCGCGAGGAAGGUGGGGAUGACGUCAAGUCCUCAUGGCCCUUACGGGCUGGGCUACACACGUGCUACAAUGGCGGUGACAAUGGGAAGCGAAGACGCAAGUCCUAGCAAAUCUCAAAAAGCCGUCUCAGUUCGGAUUGGGCUCUGCAACUCGAGCCCAUGAAGUUGGAAUCGCUAGUAAUCGUGGAUCAGCACGCCACGGUGAAUACGUUCCCGGGCCUUGUACACACCGCCCGUC
Molecule: ribosomal RNA, 504 nt
Filed under: uncultured bacterium
Lineage: Bacteria
Description: bacterial SSU rRNA
Rfam family: Bacterial small subunit ribosomal RNA
Source: RNAcentral